Molecule: ribosomal RNA, 480 nt
Filed under: uncultured bacterium
Lineage: Bacteria
Description: partial 16S ribosomal RNA
Rfam family: Bacterial small subunit ribosomal RNA
Source: RNAcentral
GAUGAACGCUGGCGGCGUGCCUAACACAUGCAAGUCGAACGGUUAAGGCGGCUUCGGCCGCGAAUAAAGUGGCGAACGGGUGAGUAGCGCGUGACCGACCUUCCCCCCGCACCGGGACAACCGCGGGAAACCGCGGCUGAUACCGGGUACUCCGGGGCCCUCGCAUGGGGGCCCCGGGAAAGCUCCGGCGGCGGGGGAUGGGGUCGCGUCCCAUCAGGUAGUAGGCGGGGCAACGGCCCACCUAGCCGACGACGGGUAGCCGGGUUGAGAGACCGACCGGCCACAUUGGGACUGAGAUACGGCCCAGACUCCUACGGGAGGCAGCAGUGGGGAAUUUUGCGCAAUGGGGGCAACCCUGACGCAGCAACGCCGCGUGCGGGACGACGGCCUUCGGGUUGUAAACCGCUUUCAGCAGGGAAGAACCUAAGACGGUACCUGCAGAAGAAGCCCCGGCUAACUACGUGCCAGCCGCCGUAAUAC